AGUAUGACCUGGUAGGGGAGAUACCAUGAUCACAUGAAGGUGUUUUUCCAGUGUAAGACUUAUCCAUCGCACUCCAGAUAUGCUGACCCCUGCAAUUUCCCAAAAUGUGAGAAAACUCAACUGCAUAAGUUGUGAUAGUAGGGGCCUGA
Molecule: small nuclear RNA, 149 nt
Filed under: Sorex araneus (European shrew)
Lineage: Eukaryota; Metazoa; Chordata; Mammalia; Eulipotyphla; Soricidae
Description: U1 spliceosomal RNA (ENSSARG00000016169.1)
Rfam family: U1 spliceosomal RNA
About the family: U1 is a small nuclear RNA (snRNA) component of the spliceosome (involved in pre-mRNA splicing). Its 5' end forms complementary base pairs with the 5' splice junction, thus defining the 5' donor site of an intron.
Source: RNAcentral